ACCGGGGCGGACAGCAUAUGAAGGUCAGGCUGAAGACUUACCCGAUUAGCUGAGAGGUGGUGCAUGGCCGUCGUCAGUUCGUACUGUGAAGCAUCCUGUUAAGUCAGGCAACGAGCGAGACCCACGUCCACAGUUGCCAGCAUACCCUCCGGGGUGAUGGGUACACUGUGGAGACCGCCGCUGCUAAAGCGGAGGAAGGAGUGGGCAACGGUAGGUCAGUAUGCCCCGAAUCUCCCGGGCUACACGCGGGCUACAAUGGUUGGUACAAUGGGCAUCUACCCCGAAAGGGGAAGGAAAUCUCUUAAAGCCAAUCGUAGUUCGGAUUGAGGGCUGCAACUCGCCCUCAUGAAGCUGGAAUCCGUAGUAAUCGCGUUUCAACAGAACGCGGUGAAUACAUCCCUGCUCCUU
This 408-nucleotide ribosomal RNA is filed under the name uncultured Methanosaeta sp. RNAcentral's name for it is "bacterial SSU rRNA". It matches the Rfam family "Archaeal small subunit ribosomal RNA", at positions 929 to 1338 of the family's 1478-position model. The record is from RNAcentral. Lineage: Archaea; Methanobacteriati; Methanobacteriota; Methanomicrobia; Methanotrichales; Methanotrichaceae.